Corapipo altera (White-ruffed manakin) is the source of this 730-nucleotide long non-coding RNA. RefSeq lists it as uncharacterized. NCBI's taxonomy places the organism in Eukaryota, Metazoa, Chordata, Aves, Passeriformes, Pipridae. The transcript is spliced from 4 exons. The record is from RefSeq and is a predicted model, not a curated record.
UGUUGGGUUCGGGCAGGCGGAGCGGCGGGGCCGGGCCGGGCUGAGGGGCCGCGGGGCGAGGGUCGGAGGAGGGCGGUGUAUCCAGCCUCCUGUGAAAUGCUGAAGGGCAAACCCGGAGAAGGGAUGAAAUCCCUGGGCUCUUAUCCCAGCAGGGAGGAACUGGGGAGCAGUUGGUGUGGUGCCAUCUCAGCCCAGCUCUGGGGAGUUGAGUUACCCAAAGGUUGGGAUGGAGCUGGAGAGCUGGAAAUAUCCAGAUGUGAAGAUCCAGGGUAGCUGCUGCUUUCACUCCCCCAUCUUCAGAAGGUGAGUAGAGGAGCAGCUGUGGGGUCCCAGCAGUGGGAGGAGGAGGAGGAGGAGGAUGCAGCAGCAGGUACAGAACAGGUUUGAUUGGAGCUGCAGCUCCUGCUUUAAAUUGCUUUGGGGAUAACUGAGUGAUUCCUCUCCCUGUGUCCCUUCCAUGCCCUGUUCCAGGGCUGGCAGUGGACAGGGGUGAUUGCUUUGAAGUGCUCUCCUGCUUUCUGGAUGAUUCACACUGGUAGGAGAGGCUUCCUGCCUUGCCAUGACUUAGGGAAAAGCUCCAUUUCAUAAUGUCUCCUUACUCUUAGCAGGGCUUGUGUCUGUUCCCAAAACUCCCACUGUUUUCACUGCAGGCAUGACCAGACUGUGAAAUAGCUUGGCUGGGCUGCUGAAUAAUCUCUGAGGCUCUUUUAAUAAACUGCAGUUUUAUUUA